GACGAACGCUGGCGGCGCGCUUAACACAUGCAAGUCGAGCGAGAACCAGGGCUUCGGCCCUGGGGACAGCGGCGAACGGGUGAGUAACACGUGGGUAAUCUGCCCUCGGCACCGGAAUAGCCCGGGGAAACCCGGAUUAAUGCCGGAUGGCCCCUUCACCUCGCGAGGUGUCGGGAAAAGGUAGCUUCGGCCUCUGGCCGAGGAUGAGCCCGCGGCGGAUUAGCUUGUUGGCGGGGUAACGGCCCACCAAGGCGACGAUCCGUAGCUGGUCUGAGAGGACGAUCAGCCACACUGGGACUGAGACACGGCCCAGACUCCUACGGGGGGCAGCAGUGAGGAAUCUUGCGCAAUGGGCGAAAGCCAGACGCAGCGACGCCGCGUGAGGGAAGAAGGCCUUCGGGUUGUAAACCUCUUUCAGGAGGGACGAAGCUACUCGGGUGAAUAGCCCAGAGGGUGACGGUACCUCCAGAAGAAGCCCCGGCUAACUACGUGCCAGCCGCCGCCGUAA
RNAcentral lists this ribosomal RNA (508 nucleotides) under uncultured bacterium. RNAcentral describes it as "partial 16S ribosomal RNA". It matches the Rfam family "Bacterial small subunit ribosomal RNA", at positions 28 to 523 of the family's 1533-position model. The record is from RNAcentral.